AGACAACGAAAUUAUAAUAUCCAAA
This 25-nucleotide non-coding RNA is filed under the name Drosophila melanogaster (fruit fly). The record is from RNAcentral. Lineage: Eukaryota; Metazoa; Arthropoda; Insecta; Diptera; Drosophilidae.